RNAcentral lists this ribosomal RNA (505 nucleotides) under uncultured bacterium. RNAcentral describes it as "partial 16S ribosomal RNA". It matches the Rfam family "Bacterial small subunit ribosomal RNA", at positions 28 to 507 of the family's 1533-position model. The record is from RNAcentral.
GACGAACGCUGGCGGCGUGCCUAAUACAUGCAAGUAGAACGCACAGUUUAUACCGUAGCUUGCUACACCAUAAACUGUGAGUUGCGAACGGGUGAGUAACGCGUAGGUAAUCUGCCUGGUAGCGGGGGAUAACUAUUGGAAACGAUAGCUAAUACCGCAUAAUAUUAAUUAUUGCAUGAUAAUUGAUUGAAAGAUGCAAUUGCAUCACUACCAGAUGGACCUGCGUUGUAUUAGCUAGUAGGUGAGGUAACGGCUCACCUAGGCGACGAUACAUAGCCGACCUGAGAGGGUGAUCGGCCACACUGGGACUGAGACACGGCCCAGACUCCUACGGGAGGCAGCAGUAGGGAAUCUUCGGCAAUGGACGAAAGUCUGACCGAGCAACGCCGCGUGAGUGAAGAAGGUUUUCGGAUCGUAAAGCUCUGUUGUAAGAGAAGAACGGGUGUGAGAGUGGAAAGUUCACACUGUGACGGUAUCUUACCAGAAAGGGACGGCUAACUACGUG